RNAcentral lists this ribosomal RNA (453 nucleotides) under uncultured bacterium. Its description in RNAcentral is "bacterial SSU rRNA". It matches the Rfam family "Bacterial small subunit ribosomal RNA", at positions 340 to 786 of the family's 1533-position model. The record is from RNAcentral.
UACGGGAGGCAGCAGUGGGGAAUAUUGCACAAUGGGCGCAAGCCUGAUGCAGCCAUGCCGCGUGUAUGAAGAAGGCCUUCGGGUUGUAAAGUACUUUCAGUCGUGAGGAAGGUGUUAAGGUUAAUAACCUUAGCAAUUGACGUUAGCGACAGAAGAAGCACCGGCUAACUCCGUGCCAGCAGCCGCGGUAAUACGGAGGGUGCGAGCGUUAAUCGGAAUUACUGGGCGUAAAGGGCACGCAGGCGGUUAAUAAGUUGGAUGUGAAAUCCCCGGGCUUAACCUGGGAAUGGCAUUCAAGACUGGUUAGCUAGAGUCUUGUAGAGGGGGUAGAAUUCCAUGUGUAGCGGUGAAAUGCGUAGAGAUGUGGAGGAAUACCGGUGGCGAAGGCGGCCCCUGGGACAAAGACUGACGCUCAUGUGCGAAAGCGUGGGGAGCAAACAGGGAUUAGAUACC